This 692-nucleotide ribosomal RNA is filed under the name uncultured fungus. RNAcentral describes it as "eukaryotic LSU rRNA". The stretch from base 290 to 443 matches the Rfam family "5.8S ribosomal RNA". Lineage: Eukaryota; Fungi. The record is from RNAcentral.
UUAUUGAAUAUAAACUUGGGUAGACUGUUGCUGGCUCCUCUUGGGGCAUGUGCAUGUUUAUCCUCUUUAUUUUUCCACCUGUGCACCUUUUGUAGGCUUGGAUUUAUAAAACACUGUUUUUGACUAUGUCCCUAGGGGCAUAAGAAUCGUUUUGGGACUGCUGUGUUUAAACACAUGUUUAUCAGCUUUUCCUUUUGUUUUUCCAAGUCUAUGUUUUUUCAUACACACGUCAGAGAUGUUAUAGGAUGCUGUACUUUAGGUCAUUUUGUAACCUAUAAUAAAUCAGUACAACUUUCAGCAACGGAUCUCUUGGCUCUCGCAUCGAUGAAGAACGCAGCGAAAUGCGAUAAGUAAUGUGAAUUGCAGAAUUCAGUGAAUCAUCGAAUCUUUGAACGCAUCUUGCGCUCCUUGGUAUUCCGAGGAGCAUGCCUGUUUGAGUAUCAUUUAAAUUAUCAACUGUGCCAAUUCUGGUCACAGAUUGGAUGUGGGGGGAUUUCUGCAGGCUUUGAAAAAAAGGCCCGCUCUCCUGAAAUGUAUUAGCAGUGCCUUUGUUGGUGCCUUGGGUGUGAUAAACCAUCUAUGCCCUUAUAUAUGGUACCUUCAUUUUUUGAGGCCAUACUGCUUCUAAAUUGUCUUUAUGGACAAUGUCUCAUGACAAACUUGAUCUCAAAUCAGGCAGGACUACCCGCUGA